GCGCUCGAUUCAGCAGCACAUACACUAAAAUUGGAAUAGUACAGAGAAGAUUAGUAUGGCCCCUGUGCAAGAAUGACAUGCAAAUAUAUGAAGUGCAUAUUUAA
This 104-nucleotide small nuclear RNA is filed under the name Microcebus murinus (gray mouse lemur). Lineage: Eukaryota; Metazoa; Chordata; Mammalia; Primates; Cheirogaleidae. The record is from RNAcentral.